Andrographis paniculata is the source of this 626-nucleotide long non-coding RNA. RefSeq lists it as uncharacterized. Lineage: Eukaryota; Viridiplantae; Streptophyta; Magnoliopsida; Lamiales; Acanthaceae. The record is from RefSeq and is a predicted model, not a curated record. The transcript has 3 exons.
CGGGUGGUGGCGGAGGUACCUCGGAAAGCCUUGAAUUUAUCUAAACAAGGCGGCUCGCGCCACUGAAGGUUUCAGUACUUAAAUGAUGGCGGCAACUGAUUAUUCUAAUUGGUAUUUUAAUAGCGGUUUUGAAAAAUUCAGUGCUUAAAACUAUAGCUAACUCAGCGUUUUUCCAUGGCUACGAAGGAAUUCCAAACACCAGCUCAAUUAGUUUUAUUAGAAGAAAUAGUGAGCAAUGCUCUUUCAUCACUCCUUGUUGAAUUGGACUAUAGGCUGCUGCUAAUAUACAUGUAUGUGGAAAAACUUACAACAAUGGAAGCACUUGAUUUAUAAAAUUGAUUGGAACUUCAAGACACUAAGGUACACAACUUUACUGCAUAAAAAAAUGUAUGAAUUAUUUUGUUGUCGUUUCUCAUUAUAUUUAAUUAUCUGCUGCAUUUGAUAUUAAUUUGAGGUAGAGUUAGUAAUUUAAUCAGUUAGGUCAGUGAGAUUGAAUAAUGUCAAUUGAUUGCAUAAUUCUCGACUGCACCUACCACCAUAAUUAGUAAUCUACUUCCAAUUUAUUAUCUUAGGUUUAGCAGAUAAUUGAAUAAGCAAAUAAUUAAGCACUUAUUUUGUUGUUUAAA